This 699-nucleotide ribosomal RNA is filed under the name Escherichia coli. Its description in RNAcentral is "partial 23S ribosomal RNA". It matches the Rfam family "Bacterial large subunit ribosomal RNA", at positions 2100 to 2798 of the family's 2925-position model. Lineage: Bacteria; Pseudomonadati; Pseudomonadota; Gammaproteobacteria; Enterobacterales; Enterobacteriaceae. The record is from RNAcentral.
UUUACUAUAGCUUGACACUGAACAUUGAGCCUUGAUGUGUAGGAUAGGUGGGAGGCUUGGAAGUGUGGACGCCAGUCUGCAUGGAGCCGACCUUGAAAUACCACCCUUUAAUGUUUGAUGUUCUAACGUUGACCCGUAAUCCGGGUUGCGGACAGUGUCUGGUGGGUAGUUUGACUGGGGCGGUCUCCUCCUAAAGAGUAACGGAGGAGCACGAAGGUUGGCUAAUCCUGGUCGGACAUCAGGAGGUUAGUGCAAUGGCAUAAGCCAGCUUGACUGCGAGCGUGACGGCGCGAGCAGGUGCGAAAGCAGGUCAUAGUGAUCCGGUGGUUCUGAAUGGAAGGGCCAUCGCUCAACGGAUAAAAGGUACUCCGGGGAUAACAGGCUGAUACCGCCCAAGAGUUCAUAUCGACGGCGGUGUUUGGCACCUCGAUGUCGGCUCAUCACAUCCUGGGGCUGAAGUAGGUCCCAAGGGUAUGGCUGUUCGCCAUUUAAAGUGGUACGCGAGCUGGGUUUAGAACGUCGUGAGACAGUUCGGUCCCUAUCUGCCGUGGGCGCUGGAGAACUGAGGGGGGCUGCUCCUAGUACGAGAGGACCGGAGUGGACGCAUCACUGGUGUUCGGGUUGUCAUGCCAAUGGCACUGCCCGGUAGCUAAAUGCGGAAGAGAUAAGUGCUGAAAGCAUCUAAGCACGAAACUUGCC